This is a transfer RNA of 87 nucleotides. It matches the Rfam family "tRNA". Rfam says of the family: Transfer RNA (tRNA) molecules are approximately 80 nucleotides in length. Their secondary structure includes four short double-helical elements and three loops (D, anti-codon, and T loops).
GCCGGAGUGGCGGAAUAGGCAGACGCGCUGGUCUCAAAAACCAGUGAGGGUAACCUCAUGCCGGUUCGAUCCCGGCCUUCGGCACAA